Molecule: ribosomal RNA, 277 nt
Filed under: uncultured bacterium
Lineage: Bacteria
Description: partial 16S ribosomal RNA
Rfam family: Bacterial small subunit ribosomal RNA
Source: RNAcentral
GACGAACGCUGGCGGCGUGCUUAACACAUGCAAGUCGAGCGGUAAGGCCCUUUCGGGGGUACGACGAGCGGCGAACGGGUGAGUAACACGUGGGUGACCUGCCCUCAGCUCUGGGAUAAGCCUGGGAAACUGGGUCGUAAUACUGGAUAUGACUCCACGGUGCAUGUCGUGGGGUGGAAAGCCUUGUGCGGCUGAGGAUGGGCCCGCCGGCCUAUCAGCUUGUUGGUGGGGUGAUGGCCUACCAAGGCGACGACGGGUAGCCGGCCUGAGAGGGCGA